CUAUGCUAUACAUGCAGUCGAGCGGACAGAUGGGAGCUUGCUCCCUGAUGUUAGCGGCGGACGGGUGAGUAACACGUGGGUAACCUGCCUGUAAGACUGGGAUAACUCCGGGAAACCGGGGCUAAUACCGGAUGGUUGUUUGAACCGCAUGGUUCAGACAUAAAAGGUGGCUUCGGCUACCACUUACAGAUGGACCCGCGGCGCAUUAGCUAGUUGGUGAGGUAACGGCUCACCAAGGCGACGAUGCGUAGCCGACCUGAGAGGGUGAUCGGCCACACUGGGACUGAGACACGGCCCAGACUCCUACGGGAGGCAGCAGUAGGGAAUCUUCCGCAAUGGACGAAAGUCUGACGGAGCAACGCCGCGUGAGUGAUGAAGGUUUUCGGAUCGUAAAGCUCUGUUGUUAGGGAAGAACAAGUGCCGUUCAAAUAGGGCGGCACCUUGACGGUACCUAACCAGAAAGCCACGGCUAACUACGUGCCAGCAGCCGCGGUAAUACGUAGGUGGCAAGCGUUGUCCGGAAUUAUUGGGCGUAAAGGGCUCGCAGGCGGUUUCUUAAGUCUGAUGUGAAAGCCCCCGGCUCAACCGGGGAGGGUCAUUGGAAACUGGGGAACUUGAGUGCAGAAGAGGAGAGUGGAAUUCCACGUGUAGCGGUGAAAUGCGUAGAGAUGUGGAGGAACACCAGUGGCGAAGGCGACUCUCUGGUCUGUAACUGACGCUGAGGAGCGAAAGCGUGGGGAGCGAACAGGAUUAGAUACCCUGGUAGUCCACGCCGUAAACGAUGAGUGCUAAGUGUUAGGGGGUUUCCGCCCCUUAGUGCUGCAGCUAACGCAUUAAGCACUCCGCCUGGGGAGUACGGUCGCAAGACUGAAACUCAAAGGAAUUGACGGGGGCCCGCACAAGCGGUGGAGCAUGUGGUUUAAUUCGAAGCAACGCGAAGAACCUUACCAGGUCUUGACAUCCUCUGACAAUCCUAGAGAUAGGACGUCCCCUUCGGGGGCAGAAUGACAGGUGGUGCAUGGGUGUCGUCAGCUCGCGUCUGGAGA
This 1046-nucleotide ribosomal RNA is filed under the name Bacillus siamensis. RNAcentral describes it as "bacterial SSU rRNA". It matches the Rfam family "Bacterial small subunit ribosomal RNA", at positions 47 to 1072 of the family's 1533-position model. The record is from RNAcentral. Lineage: Bacteria; Bacillati; Bacillota; Bacilli; Caryophanales; Bacillaceae.